CAGGCCAUGCUUUUCUCAAGGAUGUUCUGUCAGGGCGAGUAAUUGGAGGCCAUGAGGCUCAGCCAAACAGCUGGAAGUGGCAGGUAUCACUUCAGAUGGCCUGUGCAGAUUACCCUGGAUAUUAUAGGCACAUCUGUGGUGGAACCCUUAUCAGUAGUAACUGGGUCAUGACUGCAGCCCACUGUCUCAGAGUGCCAUUAGAAGCAAUAUACCGAGUGGCUCUGGGUGAACACAAUCUUUUUGAGGUGGAUG
Long non-coding RNA from Rhea pennata, 252 nucleotides. RefSeq lists it as uncharacterized. NCBI's taxonomy places the organism in Eukaryota, Metazoa, Chordata, Aves, Rheiformes, Rheidae. The record is from RefSeq and is a predicted model, not a curated record. The transcript has 3 exons.